This 253-nucleotide ribosomal RNA is filed under the name uncultured bacterium. Its description in RNAcentral is "partial 16S ribosomal RNA". It matches the Rfam family "Bacterial small subunit ribosomal RNA", at positions 524 to 776 of the family's 1533-position model. The record is from RNAcentral.
UACAGGGGGGGCAAGCGUUGUUCGGAAUUACUGGGCGUAAAGGGUUCGUAGGUGGCCAACUUAGUCAGACGUGAAAUCCCUCAGCUUAACUGGGGAACUGCGUCUGAUACUGGAUGGCUUGAGUGCAGGAGAGGAACGCGGAAUUCCAGGUGUAGCGGUGAAAUGCGUAGAUAUCUGGAGGAACACCGGUGGCGAAGGCGGCGUUCUGGACUGCAACUGACACUGAGGAACGAAAGCCAGGGGAGCAAACGGG